Molecule: long non-coding RNA, 787 nt
Organism: Sarcophilus harrisii (Tasmanian devil)
Lineage: Eukaryota; Metazoa; Chordata; Mammalia; Dasyuromorphia; Dasyuridae
Exons: 3
Source: RefSeq, a predicted model, not a curated record
CCUGUUGUGUUCUUCCUCAGGGUGCAACAAUGUGUUCAGGAACGGACACAGAUGAGGGGUGUAGAUGCAAAGACUGUAGACAGUUACAUUGAAGAGGUAGAGCCAAGGCUCACGAGCUGUGGAGACAUAGAAACCACGGACAGUGAUACGUGACGUCCCAAGGCUCAGACUCAGCCGACCUCACGUUUUCUCCAUAGAAGCCAGCGAGGGCAGAAGCGCCGGCAGUGCUGAGCGGGAGUCACGGCUGAGGCAACUGGGAUCAGAUGCAGAAGCCCAUGCUCCGAGGGAAUGGAGGGCAUACAAGGCUGAUAGAAGACCUCCUUGCAGAUCUGGUGCCUCAGAGUGACAGGCCAAUUUCCUCACAUCUCAUAGAGGCCCCUGGGAAGCCUUUCCUUACCAACGGACUAUUAUUGCACACUAAGUGAUGGAAAUGGACAUUAAACAUACUGCUUUGGAUCAGAGGCAAUGAGGUCUGCCAUCUCAGAGGGUGAUAGAGGUAUUCGCUCCUCCGGGAACACUAUCUACUCCACAACAGGGACUCCACCAAUUCACUUCCCGAAUCUUCCUUGACCACGUCAAGUGUUUGGAAAUGGACAUUAAAAAUACAGAUUUUGAUGAGAGGUACCAAAGUUCAUUUAAUAAUACUAGUUAAUAUUUCUAGAGUGAUUUUGGGUGUGUCAGUGUUUUGAGGAGCAUCCUAUGCUUUUUAUAGUGACCUUGGGAGACAAGUGUCUUUAUUAUCCCCAUUUUCUGGAUGAUAACACUGAAGUUCCAAUAAACUGAGAGA